This 483-nucleotide ribosomal RNA is filed under the name Salmonella enterica. RNAcentral describes it as "partial 23S ribosomal RNA". It matches the Rfam family "Bacterial large subunit ribosomal RNA", at positions 2248 to 2730 of the family's 2925-position model. Lineage: Bacteria; Pseudomonadati; Pseudomonadota; Gammaproteobacteria; Enterobacterales; Enterobacteriaceae. RNAcentral also lists the same sequence under 1 other name. The record is from RNAcentral.
CGGACAGUGUCUGGUGGGUAGUUUGACUGGGGCGGUCUCCUCCUAAAGAGUAACGGAGGAGCACGAAGGUUGGCUAAUCCUGGUCGGACAUCAGGAGGUUAGUGCAAUGGCAUAAGCCAGCUUGACUGCGAGCGUGACGGCGCGAGCAGGUGCGAAAGCAGGUCAUAGUGAUCCGGUGGUUCUGAAUGGAAGGGCCAUCGCUCAACGGAUAAAAGGUACUCCGGGGAUAACAGGCUGAUACCGCCCAAGAGUUCAUAUCGACGGCGGUGUUUGGCACCUCGAUGUCGGCUCAUCACAUCCUGGGGCUGAAGUAGGUCCCAAGGGUAUGGCUGUUCGCCAUUUAAAGUGGUACGCGAGCUGGGUUUAGAACGUCGUGAGACAGUUCGGUCCCUAUCUGCCGUGGGCGCUGGAGAACUGAGGGGGGCUGCUCCUAGUACGAGAGGACCGGAGUGGACGCAUCACUGGUGUUCGGGUUGUCAUGCC